CCUACGGGUGGCAGCAGUGGGGAAUAUUGCACAAUGGGGGAAACCCUGAUGCAGCAACGCCGCGUGAGUGAGGAAGUAUUUCGGUAUGUAAAGCUCUAUCAGCAGGGAAUAGAAAAGAAGGUACCUGAAAAAGAAGCACCGGCUAACUACGUGCCAGCAGCCGCGGUAAUACGUAGGGGGCAAGCGUUAGCCGGAUUUACUGGGUGUAAAGGGAGCGUAGGCGGAAAGGCAAGUCAGAAGUGAAAGCCCAGGGCUCAACCAUGGGACUGCUGUUGAAACUGUCAAACUAGAGUACGGGAGAGGUAGGCAGAAUUCCUGGUGUAGCGGUGAAAUGCGUAGAUAUUAGGAGGAACACCAGUGGCGAAGGCGUCUUACUGGACCGAAACUGACGUUGAGGCGCGAAAGCGUGGGGAGCAAACAGGAUUAGAUACCCGGGUAGUC
This 441-nucleotide ribosomal RNA is filed under the name uncultured bacterium. Its description in RNAcentral is "partial 16S ribosomal RNA". It matches the Rfam family "Bacterial small subunit ribosomal RNA", at positions 338 to 795 of the family's 1533-position model. The record is from RNAcentral.